Molecule: unclassified non-coding RNA, 553 nt
Filed under: Strobilomyces sp. 2580 CG-2012
Lineage: Eukaryota; Fungi; Basidiomycota; Agaricomycetes; Boletales; Boletaceae
Description: sequence contains ITS1, 5.8S rRNA gene, ITS2
Rfam family: 5.8S ribosomal RNA (bases 143-297)
Source: RNAcentral
UAUCGAAAAGGGGGGGGCACACGCCCCCAUCUCACACACACUUGUGCACAACCCGCGUCCGUCGGUCCUCGCGAGGGGAUCGUCGGUCUCGAUCACACACCCAGACGUAUGGCCAUAGAAUGUAAACAAGUGAACUAUAUACAACCUUCAGCAACGGAUCUCUUGGCUCUCGCAUCGAUGAAGAACGCAGCGAAUCGCGAUAUGUAAUGUGAAUUGCAGAUUUCCAGUGAAUCAUCGAAUCUUUGAACGCACCUUGCGCUCUCCGGUACUCCGGAGAGCAUGCCUGUUUGAGUGUCAUUUUAAUUCUCAACCAUGUCUCGGCAUGGCUUGGACUUGGGAGUUGCUGGCAUCGCAAGACGUCGGCUCUCCUUAAACGCAUUAGUGGACCAGCGUGUUCCUCGGACGUGCACGGCCUCGUUCGACGUGAUAACGAUCGUCGUCGGGCUGGAGCGUCUGGAAUCAAGCCUCUGCUUCCAACUCGAGUGACUCGGCCUGCUCAGCUACUAGUCUAGCCACGAACGCGAGCAGGCUCAGCCUCAUCACACCCCAAUUG